AAUAUUUCGCAAUGGAGGGAACUCUGACGCACCGACGCCGCGUGAGCGAUGAAGGUUUUCGGUACGUAAAGCUCUGUCCUUGGGGAGGAUGGCGGCCAUUUAUGGUCAAUUGAUGUUACCUAAGGAUGAAUCCCUGGCUUACUUCGCGCCAGCAGCCGCGGUAAUACGUAGGGGGCAAGCGUUGUACGGAAUUAUUGGGCGUAAAGGGUGCGUAGGCGGCCUUUUAAGUCAGAUGUGAAAGACCACGGCUUAACCGUGGGGUUGCAUUUGAAACUGGAGGGCUUGAGUAUCGGAGAUGGUAGUGGAAUUCCCAGUGUAGCGGUGGAAUGCGUAGAUAUUGGGAGGAACACCAGUGGCGAAGGCGACUACCUGGACGAAAACUGACGCUGAGGCACGAAAGCUAGGGGAGCAAACA
Molecule: ribosomal RNA, 415 nt
Filed under: uncultured bacterium
Lineage: Bacteria
Description: partial 16S ribosomal RNA
Rfam family: Bacterial small subunit ribosomal RNA
Source: RNAcentral